This 494-nucleotide long non-coding RNA is filed under the name Salmo salar (Atlantic salmon). RNAcentral's name for it is "lncRNA (ENSSSAG00000095039.1)". The record is from RNAcentral. Lineage: Eukaryota; Metazoa; Chordata; Actinopteri; Salmoniformes; Salmonidae.
AACGAUGAUGUCCCAUUAGACACCUGGUGCGCGAGUUCAUGUUGGGUACCCUCGUUCCAAUACGUUAUAAAAGAGUAUGCAUUCGUCCACCUUGAAUAUUAUUCAUGUUCUGGUUAAAAAAGGCCCUAAUGAUUUAUGCUAUACAACGUUUGACAUGUUUGAACGAACGUAAAUAUAUUUUUUCCCCUCGUUCAUGACGAGAAGUCCGGCUGGCUUAGAUCAUGUGCUAACAAGACGGAGAUUUUUGGACAUAAAUGAUGAGCUUUUUUGAACAAAACUACAUUCGUUAUGGACCUGUGAUACCUGGAAGUGCCAUCUGAUGAAGAGAAUCAAAGGUAAUGGAUUAUUUACAUAGUAUUUUCGAUUUUAGAUCUCCCCAACAUGACGUCUAGUCUGUAUCGCAACGCGUAUUUUUCUGGGCACAGUGCUCAGAUUAUUGCAAAGUGUGAUUUCCCAGUAAGGUUAUUUUUAAAUCUGGCAAGUUGAUUGCGUUC